GGAGUUAGCCGGUGCUUCUUCUGUGAGUGAUGUACUUCCUGCCGGCUAUUAACCCGCAGGCCUUCUUCCUCACUGAAAGUGCUUUACAACCCGAAGGCCUUCUUCACACACGCGGCAUGGCUGGAUCAGGGUUGCCCCCAUUGUCCAAUAUUCCCCACUGCUGCCUCCCGUAGGAGUCUGGGCCGUGUCUCAGUCCCAGUGUGGCUGAUCAUCCUCUCAGACCAGCUACGGAUCGUCGCCUUGGUGAGCCGUUACCUCACCAACCAGCUAAUCCGACAUAGGCUCAUCCGAUAGCGCGAGGCCCGAAGGUCCCCCGCUUUCCCCCGUAGGGCGUAUGCGGUAUUAGCCUGGGUUUCCCCAGGUUAUCCCCCACUACCGGGCAGAUUCCUAUGCAUUACUCACCCGUCCGCCGCUCGCCACCAGGGAGCAAGCUCCCCGUGCUGCCGCUCGACUUGCAUGUGUUAGGCCUGCCGCCAGCGUUCAAUCUGAGCCAUGAUCAAACUCUGA
RNAcentral lists this ribosomal RNA (507 nucleotides) under uncultured bacterium. RNAcentral describes it as "partial 16S ribosomal RNA". The record is from RNAcentral.